This is a non-coding RNA of Fukomys damarensis (Damara mole-rat), 879 nucleotides long. Lineage: Eukaryota; Metazoa; Chordata; Mammalia; Rodentia; Bathyergidae. The record is from the annotation of a RefSeq genome assembly.
CAUCUACCUGUCACAAUCAGGCAAAGCAUCAUGAAGAGGCUCUUGGGAUCUCUGCUCUGGCUUUUGUGCACUCAGGUUUGCUGUGUGACAGGGGUGCAGGUGGAGCAGAGUCCUCCAGCCCUCAUCCUCCAGGAGGGAGCCAGUUCCACGUUGUGGUGCAAUUUUUCUUCCACUGCGCAAAACAUUCAGUGGUUUCGCCAAGAUCCCGGGAGACGCCUCGUCAACCUGUUCUACAUUCCUUCAGGGACAAAGCAGAAUGGAAGAUUAGAGGCCACGACAGUCCCUAAGGAACGCCACAGCUCAUUGCACAUCUCCUCUUCGCAGCCCACAGACUCAGCCACUUAUUUCUGUGCCAUGGCCCACAGUGCUCCCCAGGCACCUGCAGCUGCUACACAAACCCUCAGCUGGACUAGCCCCGUGCCAGCCACAAGCACAGCUGUAGCAUUUCUAACCUACGUGGAUAAAGCUUCAAGCGCACAUACUUUUGGGCCCUAUAGGUUAGAGACUAUGGGUUUUAUCUUCCCUUCUCAAAUUAUAAAUCCCACAUUGCAGAAAUCUAAUUUAGAAGGGUAGUUUCUGACAAGAGGGCUGAAUCAGACUACACUGUGCAGGCUUUCCAAAAAAGUAAAAAUCAAAACUAAUAAUAAUUUUUAAAAAACAUGCCAUUUGGAUAAAGUAGUUACUGGCAGUGAUGCAGAUUAGCUGGGUGUCUCAAGCACAUUUGGGUCUGCAUCCCCACGGCACAUGUCCCUGUGUGGAAGGGCAAAGUAUUUGCAGCUUAUCCAUCCAGGGCAACAGAGAAAAGGAAAAGCGCACUGGAUGCUCAUAGAUGAUGAAGAGAUGUGGUGGGAAAUGUUAAAGGGUAUGUUCCAUCCAGCU